UCAGGAUGAACGCUGGCGGCGUGCCUAACACAUGCAAGUCGAGGGGCAGCAUGAACUUAGCUGCUAAGUCGAUGGCGACCGGCGCACGGGUGAGUAACGCGUAUCCAACCUGCCCCAUAGUCAGGGACAGCCCGGCGAAAGUCGGAUUAAUACCUGAUGUUCUCCCUUGAGGGCCUCUGACGGGGAGCAAAGAUUCAUCGCUAUGGGAUGGGGAUGCGUAGGAUUAGGCAGUCGGCGGGGUAACGGCCCACCGAGCCGACGAUCCUUAGGGGUUCUGAGAGGAAGGUCCCCCACACUGGUACUGAGACACGGACCAGACUCCUACGGGAGGCAGCAGUGAGGAAUAUUGGUCAAUGGGCGGUAGCCUGAACCAGCCAAGUAGCGUGCAGGAAGACGGCCCUACGGGUUGUAAACUGCUUUUGCCGGGGGAUAACUGGCGCCACGCGUGGCGCCUUGCAGGUACCCGGCGAAUAAGGACCGGCUAAUUCCGUGCCAGCCGCUGC
This 503-nucleotide ribosomal RNA is filed under the name uncultured bacterium. RNAcentral describes it as "bacterial SSU rRNA". It matches the Rfam family "Bacterial small subunit ribosomal RNA", at positions 24 to 518 of the family's 1533-position model. The record is from RNAcentral.